AACGUACGCUGGCGGCACGCCUAACACAUGCAAGUCGAACGAAGUAGCAAUACUUAGUGGCAGACGGGUGAGUAACAUGUAGGUAUCUGCCCUAUGGCCUGGAAUAACACGAGGAAACUUGUGCUAAUACCGGAUAAGUCUUUACGGAGAAAGCUUUAUGCACCAUUGGAUGAGCCUGCACUUGAUUAGUUUGUUGGUAGGGUAAUGGCCUACCAAGACUGUGAUCAAUAGCUGAUUUGAGAGGAUGAUCAGCCACAUUGGGACUGAGACACGGCCCAAACUCCUACGGGAGGCAGCAGUGGGGAAUCUUGCACAAUGGAGGAAACUCUGAUGCAGCGAUGCCGCGUGAGUGAAGAAGGCCUUUGGAUUGUAAAGCUCUUUCGUCGGGGAAGAAAAUGACUGUACCCGAAUAAGAAGGUCCGGCUAACUUCGUGCCAGCAGCCGCGGUAAUACGAAGGGACCUAGCGUAGUUCGGAAUUACUGGGCUUAAAGAGUUCGUAGGUGGUUGAAAAAGUUGGUGGUGAAAUCCCAGAGCUUAACUCUGGAACUGCCAUCAAAACUUUUCAGCUAGAGUAUGAUAGAGGAAAGCAGAAUUUCUAGUGUAGAGGUGAAAUUCGUAGAUAUUAGAAAGAAUACCAAUUGCGAAGGCAGCUUUCUGGAUCAUUACUGACACUGAGGAACGAAAGCAUGGGUAGCGAAGAGGAUUAGAUACCCUCGUAGUCCAUGCCGUAAACGAUGUGUGUUAGACGUUGGAAAUUUAUUUUCAGUGUCGCAGCGAAAGCGAUAAACACACCGCCUGGGGAGUACGACCGCAAGGUUAAAACUCAAAUGAAUUGACGGGGACCCGCACAAGUAGUGGAGCAUGUGGUUUAAUUCGAAGAUACGCGCAGAACCUUACCAACACUUGACAUGUUCGUCGCGACUCUGAGAGAUUAGAGUUUUCGGUUCGGCCGGACGAAACACAGGUGCUGCAUGGCUGUCGUCAGCUCGUGUCGUGAGAUGUUGGGUUAAGUCCCGCAACGAGCGCAACCCUCACUUUUAGUUGCCAUCAUUAAGUUGGGCACUCUGAAAGAACUGCCAGUGAUAAGCUGGAGGAAGGUGGGGAUGACGUCAAGUCCUCAUGGCCCUUACGUGUUGGGCUACACACGUGCUACAAUGGUAUCUACAACAGGAAGCAAGACGGCGACGUUAAGCAAAUCCUUAAAAGAUACCUCAGUUCGGAUUGCACUCUGCAACUCGAGUGCAUGAAGCUGGAAUUACUAGUAAUCGUGGAUCAGCGUGCCACGGUGAAUGCGUUCCCGGGUCUUGUACACACCGCCCGUCACACCAUGGGAGUUGGUUCUACCUUAAGGCAAGGUUUAAAAUCCUUGACCACGGUAUAGUCAGCGACUGGGGUG
This 1397-nucleotide ribosomal RNA is filed under the name uncultured bacterium. Its description in RNAcentral is "bacterial SSU rRNA". It matches the Rfam family "Bacterial small subunit ribosomal RNA". The record is from RNAcentral.